Molecule: long non-coding RNA, 1420 nt
Filed under: Homo sapiens (human)
Lineage: Eukaryota; Metazoa; Chordata; Mammalia; Primates; Hominidae
Description: non-protein coding lnc-GGCT-1:27
Source: RNAcentral
GAGGGCCCAUGCCAGAACCUGACCAUGCUGGCACUCUGAUUUUGGAUUUCUAGUCUCUAGAACUGUGAAUAAGUACGUUUCUAUUGCGUAAGCCACCCAGUCUAUGGUAUUUUAUUAUGGCAGCCUGAGCUGACUAAUAUAGGCUUCUAGAUUGGAAGGGGAAGGAAGUAAAGAGAGAGAAUUGAUAGGGAUAAAGAAGAGGCAUCAAGAGACUUGGGGUAUCUGCUACUGAAGACAUCAGCUCUCUAUGACAAAACAGCACAGCAUGUUUGGAGUAAGAGAAAGCUGAAGUCUCAACAAACAAAUAGAUUCUUAAUGUUCUAUACCACCGGACAAACUGCAGCCCUUUUAUACAUAUGGAGUACUUUCUGGGCCAGUCCUGUGGCCCCUUUCAAAUGUAUGGUGUUGAAACGUAGUAAGUUUAUGUUUUUAAGGUCUGCCCCUCCCUUCUUGCAUUAUAUCAUAAACUCUUCUCUUUUUUUUUUUUUUUGAGACGGAGUCCCGCUCUGUCACGCAGGCUGCCAGGCUGGCGUACAGUGGCGCAAUCUCAGCUCGCUGCAACCUCCACCUCCUGGGUUCAAGCGAUUUUCUUGCCUCUGCCUCCUGAGUAGCUGGGAUUACUGGCACACACCACCAUGCACAGGGAGAUAUGAGACAUCAAUCAAUAUAUGUAAGAUGUACAUCAGUUUCGUCUGGAAAGAUGGGACAACAUGAAGCAGGGAGGGGGCUCCCUGGUGACAGUUCCUUGUUCAAAAUGCCAAGAACCUGGAUGACUCAUAGUCAAGACCCUCCACCAGUAACAUAUAUUGGCGAGCCAGCCAGGAGACCACUACAGGAAACACUCCAUUUAUUCCACCUGACUUCCCACUUGGCUGCAUCCUCAACCAUUGAAAUGAAUUUGACCCUGAUAAUCUAAGGAGGAAACAUUUGAUAUUCUUUUGCAAUAAUACUUGGCCCCAGUAUUGUUUGGAAUCUGGAGUUUGCUGUUGAAUGGGAAAGCAGGAUGACGUUGCAUGUAUCCAGGCUUUGGUGCUGCUGUCCUAAGAAGGGUCAGGCCUAGUCAGCAUAUGGUGCUCUCCUUUGGUGCUAUUUGGCUCCAGUGUCUUUGGAGUCUGAGGAGGUUUGGCCUUUAAAAAUCAAACUGCCACCGGAACUGCUUUAAAAAUGUUUGGUUCACAGCCUUCACUGGAUUACCUAUUGGAGCAAACAAAGUGUAACCAUGUAAAACCUGUGAGCUUGUAUUGAUAUCUCAUGGCUAGAGUUCCAAGGUAAAAGCUAUUGGAUCUUCGUUUGUGUGUGUGUAUACAUGUCUAGAUGUGUUUAUUUGUAUGUACACUUAUUGUUAUAUGUUGUGUCAACCAAAUCAGCUUAUAAAUAAAAAAGCACUCAUAAAUUAAAUAAAUAAGUCCAAGCAAUUUUC